Molecule: ribosomal RNA, 167 nt
Filed under: uncultured bacterium
Lineage: Bacteria
Description: partial 16S rRNA
Rfam family: Bacterial small subunit ribosomal RNA
Source: RNAcentral
UAGGGAAUCUUCCACAAUGGACGCAAGUCUGAUGGAGCAACGCCGCGUGAGUGAAGAAGAUCUUCGGAUCGUAAAACUCUGUUGUUAGAGAAGAACACGAGUGAGAGUAACUGUUCAUUCGAUGACGGUAUCUAACCAGCAAGUCACGGCUAACUACGUGCCAGCAG